GACGAACGCUGGCGGCGUGCUUAACACAUGCAAGUCGAACGGAAAGGCCCUGCUUUUGUGGGGUGCUCGAGUGGCGAACGGGUGAGUAACAAGUGAGUAACCUGCCCUUGACUUUGGGAUAACUUCAGGAAACUGGGGCUAAUACCGGAUAGGAGCUCCUGCUGCAUGGUGGGGGUUGGAAAGUUUCGGCGGUUGGGGUUGGACUCGCGGCUUAUCAGCUUGUUGGUGGGGUAGUGGCUUACCAAGGCUUUGACGGGUGGCCGGCCUGAGAGGGUGACCGGCCACAUUGGGACGGAGAUACGGCCCAGACUCCUACGGGAGGCAGCAGUGGGGAAUAUUGCACAAUGGGCGGAAGCCUGAUGCAGCAACGCCGCGUGCGGGAUGACGGCCUUCGGGUUGUAAACCGCUUUCGCCUGUGACGAAGCGUGAGUGACGGUAAUGGGUAAAGAAGCACCGGCUAACUACGUG
This 468-nucleotide ribosomal RNA is filed under the name uncultured bacterium. Its description in RNAcentral is "partial 16S ribosomal RNA". It matches the Rfam family "Bacterial small subunit ribosomal RNA", at positions 28 to 507 of the family's 1533-position model. The record is from RNAcentral.